This 1505-nucleotide long non-coding RNA is filed under the name Carassius auratus (goldfish). RNAcentral describes it as "lncRNA (ENSCARG00000066708.1)". Lineage: Eukaryota; Metazoa; Chordata; Actinopteri; Cypriniformes; Cyprinidae. The record is from RNAcentral.
AUGAACGUUACGACUUUAUGUUUUAAAAGCGAUUAUACGACCAGGAGAAGAUCUGACAUCAUUGAGUUCUUCAAGGAUAACACACCUUUUCUGCCGAACGAGGUCAUAAUUGCUGCUGUACUUUGCGUCCCAAGCACCCCCUGCAUUCUUAUCAUGGAUUGCUGUCAUACAAGUUACCAUGUCCUCCCCCAUUGAGACUGAGCUACAAAUUCCCUUUGUUUUAUUUUAAACAUAAAACAUCCGGAGGAGAAUGGCACCUACGAUGGAAUUCAUACAAAUGUAAGGAACAUAUCUAAAGAAACCGUGUAUAAAGCAUUUUAUGUUGCUUGUUUGUGGAAAAUAAUUAAAGGGUUAGUUCAGUCAAAAAUGAAAAAUUCUGUCAUUAAUCACUCACUCUCAUGUUGUUCCAAACCUGUUAGACCUUCGUUCAUCUUCAGAACACAAAUUAAGAUUUUUGAUGGAAUCUGAAAGCUUUCUGACCCUGCAUAUACAGCAAGGGCCCUACCACGAUCAAGGCACAGAAACAUAGUAUAAGGACAUUGUUAAAAUGGUCCAUGUGACAUCAGUGGUUCAACUGUAAUUUUACAAAAAUAUUACUUUUAUUACUUAAGUAAACAAAAUGACAACUUUAUUCAAUGAUUUAUCCUCUCCUGGGAGAGUGCCGCCAUUAACUAGAGUACCACUACGGAUGCGUUUGCAUUAAUUUGCCAAUAAACAAGGUGCAGCGCAUGCAGGGUCUACGUCAACAGCACCACACACAUUCCCCAUGGGUCAGAGAGCUCUCGAAUUUUAUCACAAAUAUCUUAAUUUGUGAUCUGAAGAUAACUGAAUGACUUAACAGAUAUUUUAUAAGCAAUGUUUAAAAUCCUGAACGAGCGUCAAAGGUUCAGAUGAAGGAAUCUACGCUUCUAAGACUCAUGUAUGAACUACUUAUAGAUUCCGUGUAAAUUUUAGUUUUUUUUUUUUUUUUUAAAUCUCAAUUUAGGACUUGGACUAAAAAUGCAGCAAAAGAAAAAGUAGUUUCCUCAAACGGGCACAUAGCAAGAGAUACUAAAUUCACACAAACAUGUCAGUUGUAGAUGCAGAUAAUUUAGCAUGAAUAAGAGGUUAGUAAUCUAACUAGGGUUAGUUCACCCAUAAUAUUAUAUGAAUAAUCUCAUUCCAAUCCUGUUAGACUUUUGUUCAUUUUUGGAACACUAACGAAGACCCUUUUUAAUGAAAUCUGACAGCUGUACUGUAUUGGACGUUGAAAUGGUAGUUGCAUAUGCUGUCAAUUGAGGGACAGAAAGCACAGAUUUCAUUAAAAAUACUCUUCAUUUGUGUUUCAAAGAUGAAUGGAAAUCGUAUGGAUUUGAAAUAAUAUGAAGUUAAAUAACUGAUGACAAAAUUCUUUGUGACCACUAUUUGGUGCAACACCAAUAUUGUAAAAGUACCUGUUCAUGAUUUCUUUUUUCUGCAUGUUGCUGUUUAAACUAAAAAUUGUUCUAUAAUGUUUUAAUGUUAAC